GGAAGGGGCUAGCGUUGUUCGGAAUUACUGGGCGUAAAGCGCGCGUAGGCGGCCGGACAAGUGCGGCGUGAAAGUCCUGGGCUCAACCCGGGGACGGCGCUGCGGACUGUUCGGCUGGAGUCCGGGAGAGGGUGGUGGAAUUCCGAGUGUAGAGGUGAAAUUCGUAGAUAUUCGGAGGAACACCGGUGGCGAAGGCGGCCACCUGGCCCGGAACUGACGCUCAAGCGCGAAAGCGUGGGGAGCAAACAGGAUUAGAUACCCUGGUAGUCCACGCCGUAAACGAUGGGUGCUAGAUGUCGGGGGGCUUGCCCUUCGGUGUCGCAGCCAACGCGUUAAGCACCCCGCCUGGGGAGUACGGCCGCAAGGUUAAA
This 371-nucleotide ribosomal RNA is filed under the name uncultured bacterium. Its description in RNAcentral is "bacterial SSU rRNA". It matches the Rfam family "Bacterial small subunit ribosomal RNA", at positions 527 to 898 of the family's 1533-position model. The record is from RNAcentral.